UAUACUGGUAUAUACCAUUAUUUAUACUUUUAUAUUGUACAGUAAUAAGAUUUUACUGUACAUGUGUAUAAUUGUAGUAUUUGUUUUAUAUGUCAUACAAUAUACAGCAGAGAAAGAUCUGGUGAGCUUGACUUUAGGAUUCUAGUCACAGAUCUGAAGCUAUGCCAGGUCGAUGCUAGUCACUCGGGAGACCUCCAGUGAACAUCAAGUGCUGUAAGAAGUGUACUGAUGGCUAAAUAACAACAACGACAUACUAGUAUAACCGUUGUAUGUAAAAGGCCGUGGACUGGAUUGUGGACCUUUGAAAGUCAAGCCGUUAGAGGCAUCAUGCUCUUACUUCUCCUUGCCCUUGGUUAGAAGAAUACAGCCUGCACCUACUGCUCAUCCUCUGGGUUCCAGCAAUUCAAAAAGCUAUACCUGAUUUAUAAGGCCUUGUUUCCCCAAUGACUUCGGAAUCAAUUGCAAUCAAGUGCAUAAAUGCCAGCAUGUUCUUCGAAGACUUGUCAUGCACAGAUGAGACAGGACCAGACCUCAUUUUAGUGACAACCAAUGAGCAAACCCAGUGUUAUUGAAGAAGUGUACACUGCAGUUUACCAGCUUUUGCAAUAUGAUUUGACUGUAAAUAGCCAGCAAUCAUGAUGGAGCCACAAUGAAGUAAAGGACAGCAGUACUGUUGAUGCCCACCAUUCAUCUUCACAGCCACAGAGGUACACAGGAAAACAGUUUACAAAAUAGGA
Molecule: long non-coding RNA, 737 nt
Organism: Polyodon spathula (Mississippi paddlefish)
Lineage: Eukaryota; Metazoa; Chordata; Actinopteri; Acipenseriformes; Polyodontidae
Exons: 3
Source: RefSeq, a predicted model, not a curated record